Molecule: ribosomal RNA, 502 nt
Filed under: uncultured bacterium
Lineage: Bacteria
Description: partial 16S ribosomal RNA
Rfam family: Bacterial small subunit ribosomal RNA
Source: RNAcentral
GACGAACGCUGGCGGCGUGCCUAAUACAUGCAAGUCGAACGAACCGCGACUGAGUGCUUGCACUUGGUCAAGGUGAGUGGCGAACGGGUGAGUAACACGUGGGUAACCUACCUCAUAGUGGGGGAUAACAGUCGGAAACGACUGCUAAUACCGCAUAGGACAUGGAAUCACAUGAUUCUGUGAGGAAAGGUGGCGCAAGCUAUCGCUAAGAGAUGGACCCGCGGUGCAUUAGCUAGUUGGUAGGGUAAGGGCCUACCAAGGCGAUGAUGCAUAGCCGACCUGAGAGGGUGAUCGGCCACAUUGGGACUGAGACACGGCCCAAACUCCUACGGGAGGCAGCAGUAGGGAAUCUUCCGCAAUGGACGCAAGUCUGACGGAGCAACGCCGCGUGAGUGAAGAAGGUCUUCGGAUCGUAAAGCUCUGUUGUUAGAGAAGUACAGCGCAUAGAGUAACUGUUAUGCGUGUGACGGUAUCUAACCAGAAAGCCACGGCUAACUACGUG